This 190-nucleotide microRNA precursor is filed under the name Aedes aegypti (yellow fever mosquito). Its description in RNAcentral is "microRNA aae-mir-276 precursor (aae-mir-276-2)". Its record names the gene aae-mir-276-2. The stretch from base 48 to 139 matches the Rfam family "mir-276 microRNA precursor family". Lineage: Eukaryota; Metazoa; Arthropoda; Insecta; Diptera; Culicidae. The record is from miRBase by way of RNAcentral.
GGUGAAGUGUGCAGUAAUUAGUGCCAGGUAGGUUAGAUUUCCAGUGUCUCGAGUUAAUCCGUCAGCGAGGUAUAGAGUUCCUAUGCGUUCGGAUAAAAUAUUCCAUAGGAACUUCAUACCGUGCUCUUGGAUUGCUUGGAAGUCAUCGAGAGGGUAAUGGUGGAAGUUCGUGGCUAAUUUGUAAAUCAUC